AGCGAACGCUGGCGGCAGGCCUAACACAUGCAAGUCGAACGAACCUUUCGGGGUUAGUGGCGGACGGGUGAGUAACACGUGGGAACGUGCCUUUAGGUUCGGAAUAACUCAGGGAAACUUGUGCUAAUACCGAAUGUGCCCUUCGGGGGAAAGAUUAAUCGCCUUUAGAGCGGCCCGCGUCUGAUUAGCUAGUUGGUUGAGGUAAUGGCUCACCAAGGCGACGAUCAGUAGCUGGUCUGAGAGGAUGAUCAGCCACAUUGGGACUGAGACACGGCCCAAACUCCUACGGGAGGCAGCAGUGGGGAAUCUUGCGCAAUGGGCGAAAGCCUGACGCAGCCAUGCCGCGUGAAUGAUGAAGGUCUUAGGAUUGUAAAAUUCUUUCACCGGGGACGAUAAUGACGGUACCCGGAGAAUAAGCCCCGGCUAACUUCGUG
This 434-nucleotide ribosomal RNA is filed under the name uncultured bacterium. RNAcentral describes it as "partial 16S ribosomal RNA". It matches the Rfam family "Bacterial small subunit ribosomal RNA", at positions 29 to 507 of the family's 1533-position model. The record is from RNAcentral.